UUCCCAGACUCCUACGGGAGGCAGCAGUGAGGAAUAUUGGUCAAUGGGCGGAAGCCUGAACCAGCCAAGUCGCGUGAGGGAAUAAGGCCCUACGGGUCGUAAACCUCUUUUGCCGGGGAGCAAGGGCGGGGACGUGUCCCGGCCCGGAGAGUACCCGGAGAAAAAGCAUCGGCUAACUCCGUGCCAGCAGCCGCGGUAAUACGGAGGAUGCGAGCGUUAUCCGGAUUUACUGGGUGUAAAGGGCGUGUAGCCGGGCUGACAAGUCAGAUGUGAAAACUCAGGGCUCAACCCUGAGCCUGCAUUUGAAACUGUGUUUCUUGAGUGCUGGAGAGGCAAUCGGAAUUCCGUGUGUAGCGGUGAAAUGCGUAGAUAUACGGAGGAACACCAGUGGCGAAGGCGGAUUGCUGGACAGUAACUGACGCUGAGGCGCGAAAGCGUGGGGAGCAAACAGGAUUAGAUACCCUUGUAC
RNAcentral lists this ribosomal RNA (469 nucleotides) under uncultured bacterium. RNAcentral's name for it is "bacterial SSU rRNA". It matches the Rfam family "Bacterial small subunit ribosomal RNA", at positions 328 to 793 of the family's 1533-position model. The record is from RNAcentral.